This 1341-nucleotide long non-coding RNA is filed under the name Setaria viridis. Its description in RNAcentral is "long non-coding RNA (SVIR_LNC007936)". Lineage: Eukaryota; Viridiplantae; Streptophyta; Magnoliopsida; Poales; Poaceae. The record is from RNAcentral.
GCCAAACACACCAAAAAGCUAGCAUACAUUCCAAAGAAAGCUAUUAUAUUGGUUAGUCGGGUAAGACUUGCUGAGUACCCCGUACUCAGGGUUUUCCCCUUGUGGCUAUCUUUCAGAAGCUCCGCAGGAGUCUACAGAGGAGGAGACCCCGAAGUCCUAGGGUAUUGUCCUGAGUCUCACAAUACCCCUAGAGAAGAAGUUUUACAUGCACAUCUUCUCCUAAACUGUUUAUGUUUAAGUCUUAGAACUCUGUCUAACCCUGCACCGCUAAGUUUGCUUCAAUCUAUGUUCUGUAAUAACUCGUACCUUCUAUAUGUAUGUAAAAAUGUAAUGUUUGUUGAUGUUAUCCCAUCGCGGAUACUAUCCUGAUGUAUGGCUAUGAGACACGUCGUGGAUUUUUCGAGGAGUCCUAGGGACACUCGACGGACUACCGGACUUAUGCUAUUUUAGGUGCGUUUCGGAUAAUUGCUGUUCCGACAGCGAUUAGGCGCACUUAAACCAGCUUAAGUUGGGUGGUUCCGCCACAGUGCGGUCGUACAUGGGUACUUGUGAUAGGUCGCGUCGGGGGCAUGGGUACCUUUCUGCGCGCUAGAGCCGCGAUGCAUUUAUGGCGAGCUCUACAGGGGACCCACGAGAUCCGUGCCCUGAUCUUCCAGUCCACGCCCAAGGCGGAUAUUUGUCUUAUGGGCCCGGAUGAGUCCGACCCCCUGCGCCCUGGGUCGGGUGAGGUGGAAUCUUAUGGUGGGGGGUCGGGCGCUCCGGACCCUGAGCCCGUGGGUUGGGCGAGGCGGAGUUUGGCCAUCAAGGGAUCGGGAGCGUCCGACCCCGGGACACUGGGUCGGGCAAGGUGGAGCGUGGCUCUCCCCUCCCGUGUUGGGCCGACGGCAGUCUUUAUUACCUUAGGUAGGCUUGGGCCUUUAUGAUUGUUGAUUUAAUGGGCUUUAGGAGGUCGUUAAUAUUUCCCCCCAACACUAGUAGAACCACCUCUUGGAGCCUACAAAUAGAGAGGCACCCCCUCAAUUCCAAGACGCACCACAAGUUGAAUCACUCUCUCCCUCUUAGUUUCCAAGUUAGUGGAGUUAGGCUAGAGUAGCUCUACUUCAGGUUAUAGGUUUCCUUGGAGUCUAUGGUAUGGAUCUUGUAUCUUACUUUCCUAGGUUGACUUUUUUUCUAUUCAAAGUAUUCAUCUUCUUUAUAUAGUUGGUGAUACAAUCUAAGAUUUUCCUACCUUCGGCAAGAGUCCUAUGGGCAAAUGACCCUCCAACGGUAACAUCAAGGUACAUGGCGAUUCCUUGUCGAGACCCGUGCUGAAAUGCUCAAGCAACACAUGUUCGGGUAUCG